UAAAAAUCAAAGAAACCUACUUCACAACUAUUUGGGGUUGGCUACUAUGGAUCAAUUACUAUUUUACAUGGCAGUGUCAACAGGUAACCUCAUGGUCCUGGGCCAAAAUAAGAAAAAAGAUUUGGAAAUUUUGGUUAGGAAUGAAAUGAAACUGAGUGAGGGUCAACACUUACCUGGAAUUCAGGGCAGUCCCAGGCCCAAGACGACCAAGGCGGUCGCAUUGGGCCUCAAAAUAGAGGAUGGAAAAAAAAAAAAAAAAUUAAGUUAGGACAAGUCUUGGUCGCCUUGGUUGAGGCCCAUAGGGGAUGGAAAAAAAAAAAUACGGAGUGUUAAGUUAGGGCAAGUUUCAGACGACACAAUUUGCUUCGACACUCCGCAGGCCGCAGCCUCCGCUAUCGCCUCAGGUGACAAGGACACUCUUCUUAGUAUCUCGUGAGGUUAUUUGCCUUGAACUUGAAUCAAAUCAUUGCAUAUUGAGGGCCUCACAUUUGAAAGUUUGCCUAGGGCCUUUCAAAAUAUUUGGAAUUCUUUAGUUCUUUGCCUCAAAGGGUCAAACUUGCCUACAGAAUAAUAGAGGGACUCUGACACUUGAACACUAGGGGAAAUCAAUGAAUAAAUAGAAUUGCAACCAGAUCUUGUCCUAAAUUUUUCAUCUAAAUAAUGAAUUAAGUUGAACUUUUGAAUUCUUGCUAGGAUUUACCUUUUCCUUUCUUUUUCAAAUGAAUAUGUUGUAAAUUUGGGCUAAGGUGUUCUUUUAUGAAUAUGUUAGGAUUUAUCUUUUUACAUAGUAUAAAAUUUUGUAACAUGAAUUUAAAGACAUACCAUUAUUGUUGCCUUGAUGACAGUUUGCUUUGUGUGGCCAUAAACGAAUUCAUCAUCAAUUACAGAGAGCAUAACAUCUAUGAAGUCCUGCUCAUCACCCCUCUCACUCACAAUUCCCUUUUGUAGAUGUUCUUAAACCCAAACUCUCAAAGAUAGAAUCCAAUUAUUUUCCAAUUCUCUUCAUGGUCUUCAAAUCUCCUCCCAUAUGAUCAAUCCAUGUUAGCAAUGGAAAUGGAAUCACAUCUGGCAAUACAAAAACCCCAUUUACAUACAUAAAUUCCUUUAUAACUCUUUUAAAUUGCCUUGUUUCUUCAUCGUCCGCGCUCUUAGAAUAUCUCUUACCUGCAAUCAUCUUCACAACAAUAAUCAAAGUAAAUUGUUCAAGCCGUUCACUAAUCACCACCCUGUUGCUCUUCUUGGCAAGCAAGUACAACUCUUUAAUGCUAGUGUCCAAUUCCGAGACUCGGACAUGCCUGAGCGUGUCAAGUCGCAGACUUGACAGCAACUG
This is a long non-coding RNA of Cornus florida, 1330 nucleotides long. RefSeq lists it as uncharacterized. The transcript has 3 exons. Lineage: Eukaryota; Viridiplantae; Streptophyta; Magnoliopsida; Cornales; Cornaceae. The record is from RefSeq and is a predicted model, not a curated record.